GGAGCCGAGCGAGCGGCGGGUGUCCCUGAGAGGCCACCUUUCGACCUUCGAGGGCCAGGAGGAUACGGGGAGGUGGCCGGAGGGAGUUCCCGAACACAGGUCUUCCUGUUCCCGCCGAGCAGGUGUUGGCGGUGCCAGGCCCGGCCUGGCGGGCCCGGGCUGGCAGCCAAAUACCCAGCGUCUGUGCUCGGGACGGGAGUGUUCGUCCAGGACGUGCAGCUCCGGAGCCUGCGCGGGCGACCUUGACCACCUUUGUCGGCUGUUUCCCCCUGAGGGAAGUAUACCUGUCCUGCCAGCCUUGGUCUCUGGCAGGGAAGGUCCUUCCAACAGAGAGGGGUGCGCACGAAUUCCUUUUUGCCGCUCUUCUAUUAAUAGUUUGAGAUUUUCCUCCCCGAUUCCUUGCAGAGAGGGCCUGGUCCUCAAGGACCUCGGGAUCUGGGCGCGACGUCCCUUCCCAGCUUCCUCCCGCGCGCACCGGACCAGAUCUUGCUGUCGUCAGCUGGCUGGUACCCAAAGUUCCUCUUCGUCAGGCUGUUCCUUCCCCGUUAGAGUCCUUCCUCCCCAGGAGCCCUCUCCAUCUGCUGACCUUCAAGACCCAGAGCGAAUGCCACUUCAUCCAUGAAGCCUUCCCUUAACCCUUAUCUGGCCAAAAUGUCUCUUUCCUGUGCUUCUGUACUUUCACAAUUUUAGAAAAUGCCUUUGUGGUUAAAAACCUAUCUCCGGGACCGGACUAUCUAGGUUUAGAUUCUGGCUGCCGCUUACGAAUUUGGGCAGGUUUAGUCAAGUUAUUUUAACCUCUCUGUGGAAGUUCCUGCUCUGUGGAAAUAAUAGUAUUUUCCUCAGAGUUGGUGUGGGGAGUUUGUGAGUUAAUACAUUUACGAAGUGGUUAGUUGCAUGUAAGAAGGACUCUCUAAAUGUCAGCUAUUAUUAACAUUGCAUAUCUGCCACACCCUUCAUAGAUGGUAAACUGCUUUUUUUUUUUUUUUUACUUUUAUUUUAGGUUCGGGAUACAUGCACAGGUUUGUUUUAUAGAUAAAUUGCUUGUCAUGUGGGUUUGUUGUACAAAUUAUUUUGUCACCCAGAUAGUAAGCAUAGUACUUGACAGGUAUUUUUUCUGAUCCUCUCCCUCCUCCCACCCUCUAGCCUCAAGUAGGUCCCAGUGUCUGUUGUUCUCUUCUUUGUGUCCAUGUGUUCUCAAUGUUUAGCUCCCACUUACAAGUCAGAACAUGCAGUAUUUGGUUUUCUCUUCCGCAUUAGUUCACUUAGGAUAAAGGCCUCCAGCUCCAUCCAUGUUGCUACAAAGGACAUGAUCUCUUUCUUUUUUAUGGCUGCAUAGUAGUCCAUGGUGUAUAUGUACCGUAUUUUCUUCAGUCUACUGGUGAUGGGCAUUUAGGUUGAUGCCAUGUCUUUACGAUUGUGAAUAGUGCUGCAGUGAACAUACAUGUACAUAUAUCUUUAUGGUAGAAUGAUUUAUAUUCUUUUGGGUAUAGACCCAAUACUGGGAUUGUUGGGUCGAAUGGUAAUUCUGUUUUAAGUUCUUUGAGAAAUCGCCACACUGCUUUCCGCGGUUACUGAACUAAUUUACAUUCCCACCAGCAUUGUAUAAGCAUUCCCUUUUCUCCACAACCUCACCAGAAACCAGCAUCUGUUAUUUCUUGACUUUUAUUAAUAGCCAUUCUGACUGGUGUGAGAUGAUAUCUCAUUGUAGUUUUGAUUUGGGUUUCUCUAGUGAUUAGUGAUGUUGAGUAUUUUAUAUGCUUGUUGGCCAUGUAGCUUCUUUUGGCUAGGGACCUGUGAGUCUCCCUAGGUUUCUUGCACUUACUAAGCCUUCAACAAAUGGUAGAAGAGUCAAUUCUCUUGGUGUUUCAGAAGAAAACAAUAUCACAGCCCCUCUCCACUGGAUAAUACUAUAAAUCUUAAAAUGAAUUUUCAUUCAGAGUAAUAAACACAAGCCAAAGAACUUUGUAUAACAUCCGUCAACUUUUUGUGUUAUCUAUUUCUUUUCCAAAACAUUGCCUCUGGUUUUAAAGGUAACUGCCCACAGUGUUUCACUAAUAACAUUUUAAGCAUUACAAGUUCAACACUGAAGGUCAAAUGACAACGAACUUUCAGUGCUUCCAAAAGCAGGGGCAGAGGGCAACUGCUGAGGGGGGCAUUGUAUAGCCUAACCUUCCCAGAAUUUGAUUUAAAAGUAUGAUCUUCACAGCGUUGGCCAGCAAUAUCAUGGUCACUCCCUACGUCAUUCCCUGGGAGAAAAACAACCCUAGGUUACCUAAACAAUGUUGGCGAAGACCAAAUAUUUAUUAACAUCCUAAGCCGCCCCAUAAUCAAGCCAAUGCUGAUAGGGACAAAGAAGGUGCCAUGUGCAGUUUUUCUCCAUGUCCCCACAAUAUCUGCUCUGAAUUUUAAAAGGCAAUUACUGGGGGAGAAGGAAGCCUAUAUAUUAUGUAGGAUCCAAGUCUCAAACUGCUUUCCUAGGGAGUGUGAGGUUCUUGGAGAUUAAGUGCAGUACCUUUCUGUCUUGAGCCUUGUAGGCUGCCCCUCUAAUUUAAUGCCAGUCUUGAAAUAAACAGAAUGCUUUCCAAGUCAUCGCUAAUUUUAACACUUUAAAUUUAGAAUUGCUUAGAAUUGACUCAACACUGCCUCCUUGCUGAAUGGAUAAUUCAAGCAAACAACUCAAGAGCUGGAUGCUGCCCAGACAGAAGUCCUCCUAGCAUCUUUCUUCUGCCUUCCCCUGCUCCUGUCCCUGAAACCUUUUCUUCAAAAGAAGUGGAAAAGAGGAACUGGGAACCCAUAUAGCAACAGCAUCACCUGGAAUGAAUUCCUUUAGAACAUACUGUCUUGGAAAUCUGAAGCCUGCAGGGCUGGACAGGCAAGAAGAGCAGUGAGCACUGCAUGAACCUAGUCUUGCUGUGUCGCCCAAGCUGGAGUUCAGUGGCACCAUCCUGGCUCACUGCAACUGCUGCCUCCCAGGUUCAAGUGAUUCUCCUGCCUCAGCCUCCCGAGUAGCUGGGAUUACAUGUGCCUGCCACCACGCCUGGCAAGUUUUUGUAUUUUUAGUAGAAAUGGUGUUUUACCAUGUUGGCCAAGACUGGCCUAGAACUCCAGACCUCAAGUGAUCCACCCGCCUCAGCAGCCCAAAGUGGUGGGAUUACAGGCAUGAGCAACUGUGCCUGGCCUAGCCAUUUUCUAUAAACCUGAAAAUAGAUGCCAGAAAAGAAGGUGCCGCUAUAAAAUGCUUUCUUGAGUGAUUUAUGUCUAACAUACAAUUAAACAUUUAUGAGAAGGAAAUUAUCAGGUUAAAAUAUAAACUCACUUGCCAAUUAUUUGAUUUUCAG
RNAcentral lists this long non-coding RNA (3338 nucleotides) under Homo sapiens (human). Its description in RNAcentral is "GOT1 divergent transcript". Lineage: Eukaryota; Metazoa; Chordata; Mammalia; Primates; Hominidae. The record is from RNAcentral.